GACGGAGGAUGCAAGUGUUAUCCGGAAUCACUGGGCGUAAAGCGUCUGUCGGUGGUUGAACAAGUCAACUGUUAAAUCUUGAAGCUUAACUUUAAAAAUGCAGUCGAAACUGUUUAACUAGAGUAUAGUAGAGGUAAAGGGAAUUUCCAGUGGAGCGGUGAAAUGCGUAGAUAUUGGGAAGAACACCGAUGGCGAAGGCACUUUACUUGGCUAUUACUGACACUCAGAGACGAAAGCUAGGGUAGCAAAUGGG
RNAcentral lists this ribosomal RNA (253 nucleotides) under uncultured bacterium. RNAcentral describes it as "partial 16S ribosomal RNA". It matches the Rfam family "Bacterial small subunit ribosomal RNA", at positions 524 to 776 of the family's 1533-position model. The record is from RNAcentral.